RNAcentral lists this long non-coding RNA (247 nucleotides) under Capsicum annuum. Its description in RNAcentral is "long non-coding RNA (CANN_LNC020210)". The record is from RNAcentral. Lineage: Eukaryota; Viridiplantae; Streptophyta; Magnoliopsida; Solanales; Solanaceae.
GUACAAGUUGUAGCGCAUAUACCAUAUUCAGUCAGUUCGCAGCUUUCACUCAGCAGGUGAAGAAUCCUUUUGAUUCAAGAGCUCGAGUCAGUUAUGCAGUUUGAGAAGUAUUGUAUUUUCUUUAAUCAGUCAUAUUGAGUUGGGAUAGUUGGGAGUCAUGACCCAGCUACCUAUAGUCAGUACUAGUAGAGGCUUCAUAGACAGUCAGUAGUGUUAAUGUAUUUAAUUUCAAUUUUGUUGUAAAAGC